UGUGGUCAGCGGUCUCUUCCUCGGGCUUCAAGGAAUCUGCUGGGGGUCGUCAGUGA
Molecule: transfer RNA, 56 nt
Filed under: Rhizochromulina marina
Lineage: Eukaryota; Dictyochophyceae; Rhizochromulinales
Description: partial Selenocysteine transfer RNA
Source: RNAcentral